Molecule: ribosomal RNA, 1489 nt
Filed under: Lactiplantibacillus plantarum
Lineage: Bacteria; Bacillati; Bacillota; Bacilli; Lactobacillales; Lactobacillaceae
Description: bacterial SSU rRNA
Rfam family: Bacterial small subunit ribosomal RNA
Source: RNAcentral
GACGAACGCUGGCGGCGUGCCUAAUACAUGCAAGUCGAACGAACUCUGGUAUUGAUUGGUGCUUGCAUCAUGAUUUACAUUUGAGUGAGUGGCGAACUGGUGAGUAACACGUGGGAAACCUGCCCAGAAGCGGGGGAUAACACCUGGAAACAGAUGCUAAUACCGCAUAACAACUUGGACCGCAUGGUCCGAGUUUGAAAGAUGGCUUCGGCUAUCACUUUUGGAUGGUCCCGCGGCGUAUUAGCUAGAUGGUGAGGUAACGGCUCACCAUGGCAAUGAUACGUAGCCGACCUGAGAGGGUAAUCGGCCACAUUGGGACUGAGACACGGCCCAAACUCCUACGGGAGGCAGCAGUAGGGAAUCUUCCACAAUGGACGAAAGUCUGAUGGAGCAACGCCGCGUGAGUGAAGAAGGGUUUCGGCUCGUAAAACUCUGUUGUUAAAGAAGAACAUAUCUGAGAGUAACUGUUCAGGUAUUGACGGUAUUUAACCAGAAAGCCACGGCUAACUACGUGCCAGCAGCCGCGGUAAUACGUAGGUGGCAAGCGUUGUCCGGAUUUAUUGGGCGUAAAGCGAGCGCAGGCGGUUUUUUAAGUCUGAUGUGAAAGCCUUCGGCUCAACCGAAGAAGUGCAUCGGAAACUGGGAAACUUGAGUGCAGAAGAGGACAGUGGAACUCCAUGUGUAGCGGUGAAAUGCGUAGAUAUAUGGAAGAACACCAGUGGCGAAGGCGGCUGUCUGGUCUGUAACUGACGCUGAGGCUCGAAAGUAUGGGUAGCAAACAGGAUUAGAUACCCUGGUAGUCCAUACCGUAAACGAUGAAUGCUAAGUGUUGGAGGGUUUCCGCCCUUCAGUGCUGCAGCUAACGCAUUAAGCAUUCCGCCUGGGGAGUACGGCCGCAAGGCUGAAACUCAAAGGAAUUGACGGGGGCCCGCACAAGCGGUGGAACAUGUGGUUAAAUUCGAAGCUACGCGAAGAACCUUACCAGGUCUUGACAUACUAUGCAAAUCUAAGAGAUUAGACGUUCCCUUCGGGGACAUGGAUACAGGUGGUGCAUGGUUGUCGUCAGCUCGUGUCGUGAGAUGUUGGGUUAAGUCCCGCAACGAGCGCAACCCUUAUUAUCAGUUGCCAGCAUUAAGUUGGGCACUCUGGUGAGACUGCCGGUGACAAACCGGAGGAAGGUGGGGAUGACGUCAAAUCAUCAUGCCCCUUAUGACCUGGGCUACACACGUGCUACAAUGGAUGGUACAACGAGUUGCGAACUCGCGAGAGUAAGCUAAUCUCUUAAAGCCAUUCUCAGUUCGGAUUGUAGGCUGCAACUCGCCUACAUGAAGUCGGAAUCGCUAGUAAUCGCGGAUCAGCAUGCCGCGGUGAAUACGUUCCCGGGCCUUGUACACACCGCCCGUCACACCAUGAGAGUUUGUAACACCCAAAGUCGGUGGGGUAACCUUUUAGGAACCAGCCGCCUAAGGUGGGACAGAUGAUUAGGGUG